Molecule: long non-coding RNA, 444 nt
Organism: Cotesia glomerata
Lineage: Eukaryota; Metazoa; Arthropoda; Insecta; Hymenoptera; Braconidae
Exons: 3
Source: RefSeq, a predicted model, not a curated record
GUUAUAAAUACGGGGGUGAAGACUAUUAAAGUCAGUCACUGUUUGUCUUCCAUAAGACUUCGUACUUUUUAAGGAGACUUAAUAAUCAUUUUUCACAAAAGAAAGUUCAAUUAAAAUAAAAAUGUCAAAAUUUAUCCCGCUGUUUUUUUCGAUGGUUACCUUGGCCAGUGUUAUUAUGAAUUCAACUGGGCAGGAAGAGGAGGAGGGGCAGAAGGAGCAGGUGGAGGAGAAGGAAUGUCAACAAGAUAAUAGAUUAUGCACUCAAGAUGAAAAUUGCUGCAAUGGAAGUUGUGUUGGUAAAGAAGGUUCAGUGCUUAUGAGAUGUCAACCCAAAAGUUCUGAUGCAAAAUAAUUUCUAAUCACUUUUUAAUGUAUCUAACAUAUUUAUUGUAAGGUAACGAUAUACAUUAAUAGUAAAAAAUAAUAUUUUAUUUGAGUCAAAAA